RNAcentral lists this long non-coding RNA (1858 nucleotides) under Macaca fascicularis (crab-eating macaque). RNAcentral's name for it is "lncRNA (ENSMFAG00000049747.1)". Lineage: Eukaryota; Metazoa; Chordata; Mammalia; Primates; Cercopithecidae. The record is from RNAcentral.
AUUGCAAAGUAGAAAUACUAUUUUAAAAGGUGCAAAAUACCCUUGAGAGAGAAGCAAUUCAGGAUGGGCAGAUUAUAAGAAUGAGACAGCAUAGACUGGAAAUAGAGAGACUCCAUUUAUGGGAGUCUUACAUAAUUAUUUACAAAGAGUUAGAAUGUGGUGUUAUUAGUAAGCAUGUUCUGGGUGAUCCUCUUGGUGCACAUACACAGUGGCUGUACAUGCUUGUUUGUACAUCACAUAUCUCAUUAGCAUAUUAAAACUCCACUCACGUGUGUUUUUUAGUACUACAAUGAGUAAAAGAUCAGAGGACAAGUAAAAUUAAAAUGUGCAUGCUCUUUACAGGGGAAUAUCCCUACUGAAGAGAGCUUUGCUUGAAUGAGAUGAAAUGCAAUGCAAAUGUUGGGGUUUAUUGUGUUGACAAUAUGCUGUCACCAUGUAAUCACCAUGGCUGCUGCAGCCUGAGGACAUGGUGACUUUCUUGACUACCUAGCCAGCCUCAAUAGUACUUAUCUUAGUUGAUUUUCAACUAUCAAUGCUGAGACUAAGAUUUAGCUGUUACGUCAAUAUUGUCAAAAGUGUGAAAAUGACAAUUUUAAAAUCAAACAUAUUUGAGCUUGAUUUGGGUCUCUAGCUGUGUACCCAAGAGAAAUUAUUUUACAUUCCUGGAGCUUCAGUCAAUAUGUAUGCAUUGCUGUAUGUUUGUUUUUUUGGUGUAAGUUUUUGUUCGUUUACAUUUUUAAGGAUAUUUUUUCCUACUUUAUGCUGAUUUUGAGUUACACAAAACUUACCAAGAGCUCUAUUUUAAUACAUUUUUUCAACCAAAAUGUUAAAUAUUGAAAGUGGCAUUCUGGAUUAUCCUUUUCCAUGCAGACUACACUGCAGUUUUCCUUUUGUGGUGCAAGGUUAUAAAAAUGCCAUUCAGUUGAUUUCCUAAGUAACAGUAGAAUGUGUUUUCUCAGACAGUAGCAUGAGGAUUUUUGACAUACUACCAUUAGACAUAAUGAAAGCAAAUGAAUGAACGUGUUGAAAUUUGUCUUUAUUCACAAGGUCAUUAGAGGCUAAGUCAUGGCAACACAUGUAGUUCAAUCCAAAUUUUUUGUGUAAAAUUUUGUUGAACUGCAUCUAUCUGCAUAUGUAACACUAAUUUAGUAACAGCUUCUUUAUACUAAGCCAGAAUUAAUUUAUCCUGAUGGUUUUGUUUUAAAUGUGUGAGCUGUAUUAUACCACAUUUGAACAAGUAAUAUAGAGUAAUAUGAAUUUACCUUAGAGAAAGAAAAGUACAGGCACAUUAAAAAUGAAUUAGAAGCUGGCAGCUGACACUGAUUAACAGGUUGAGCAAAUUCUACUAGACCUAAAUUUCUGUAAACAAUUUUGAAAAACAGAAUUUUAACUAAAAACAUCAACAACAUAAUAAACUUAUGAGAUUUUUAAAAAGUUGAUUUGUUUACCCAUCAUCAAUCAAUACUAGGUUAAACUAGAAAAUUGUGAACACAUCAUAUAAAAAAUAAAAUUACUAAACUUUCCUCAGACUUCAUCUGAUUAAAACAAGGCUUCUGGGUAUUUGAAAGCACCAAAUUAUUGAUGAAAAAUAUCUAUUUUGAACAGAUUGUUGAUCUUAUAUACACAUUAGUACUAAGUAAAACCUAAUACAGCUUUGAUUUCUGAAAUAUUUGUGAAUGUCUAUCACUAUACUGAAAAAUCAAGAAAUUAUUCAAUCUGUCUAAAUUUUGAGGAAAAUAUUUGCUAUUUUAAUUGAAUGUCAGUAUUCAUGUAGUAUGGCAAACCACCCAUUUCUUUAGUAUUCUGCUAUUUUAUAAAAUAAACCAGAAUUUAUGGAGACAUUUGUAAAAAAAAAAAA